GAUAUCUAAUGGCAAAAAUUUUACGCCAAAUGGGGGAACAUUUAGGAGGUGGCUGGUACGAAACCCAUGCUUGAGGAAAGCAAUAUUUAGUUGAAACCAAUUGAGUCCAUAGGGAAUGAGGCUGGAUGCAAACUUUCCCAAAAGCAAGUAUUGAUAUUGGUGAAGAGAAUGCAAACCAAGCCCACCAAUAUUUUUGGGAUUACAAAUAGUCACCAAAGAUAUCAAAUGUAAUUGAUGUUGAGUAGAAUAACGACCCC
This 257-nucleotide long non-coding RNA is filed under the name Elaeis guineensis (African oil palm). RNAcentral describes it as "long non-coding RNA (EGUI_LNC008274)". Lineage: Eukaryota; Viridiplantae; Streptophyta; Magnoliopsida; Arecales; Arecaceae. The record is from RNAcentral.